UACGUAGGGUGCGAGCGUUAAUCGGAAUUACUGGGCGUAAAGCGUGCGCAGGCGGUUUUCCAAGACAGAUGUGAAAUCCCCGGGCUCAACCUGGGAAUGGCAAUGGAUACUGGCAGGCUAGAGUGCGGUAGAGGGUAGUGGAAUUCCCGGUGUAGCGGUGAAAUGCGUAGAGAUCGGGAGGAACACCAGUGGCGAAGGCGGCUACCUGGACCAGCACUGACACUGAGGCACGAAGGCCAGGGGAGCAAACGGG
RNAcentral lists this ribosomal RNA (253 nucleotides) under uncultured bacterium. RNAcentral's name for it is "partial 16S ribosomal RNA". It matches the Rfam family "Bacterial small subunit ribosomal RNA", at positions 524 to 776 of the family's 1533-position model. The record is from RNAcentral.